This 966-nucleotide ribosomal RNA is filed under the name uncultured bacterium. Its description in RNAcentral is "bacterial SSU rRNA". It matches the Rfam family "Bacterial small subunit ribosomal RNA", at positions 50 to 1108 of the family's 1533-position model. The record is from RNAcentral.
AACACAUGCGAGUCGAACGAAGAAGUCUUCUUCGUGGCGUACGGGUGAGUAACACACAGGAACCUGCCUUUUAGUUCAGGCUAAAAUUCUGAAUAAUCAAAGAAAUCUUUUCGCUAAAAGAUGAGCCUGUGGAGGAUUAGGUAGUUGGUAUUGGGUAAAAGCCUACCAAGCCGAUGAUCCUUAGCUGUUCUGAGAGGUUGUACAGCCACACUGGGACUGAGACAAGGCCCAGGCUCCAUAGGGGGCCAGCAGUGAGGAAUUUUGGACAAUGAGCGAAAGCUUGAUCCAGCAAUACUACAUGAGUGAUGAAGGCUUUCAAGUUGUAAAACUCUUUGGUUGAGGAGGAUAAUGACAGUACUCAACAAAAUAGCCCCGGCUAACUUCGUGCCAGCAGCCGCGGUAAGACGAAGGGGGCGAGCGUUAUCCGGAAUGACUGGGCGUAAAGGGUCCGUAGGCAGCAUUUUUUGUUAGAGGUAAAACAAAAAAGCUUAACUUUUUUUGGCUUCUAAAACGUAAAUGCUUGGAGUUUGAAAGGAGAUAGCAGAAUUUCACAUGGAGGGGUGAUAUCCGUAGAUAUGUGAAGGAAUACCAGAGGCGAAGGCGGCUAUCUAGUUCAAUACUGACGUUGAGGGACGAAAGCAUGGGGAGCAAACAGGAUUAGAUACCCUGGUAGUCCAUGCCCUAAAAGAUGAGUGCUCGUGCUUAGAGGGUUUUAGGCACUUAGUUAACACGUUAAGCACUCCGCCUGGGGAGUACGACCGCAAGGUUGGAACUCAAAGGAAUUGACGGGGGCCUAUACAAGUGGUGGAGCAUGUGUUUAAUGCGACAAUACGCGCGAAACCUUACCAGUUCUGACAUAAAAAAAAAAGAUCGAAAGGAAGAUUCGAAGAUUUUACAGGUGCUGCAUGCUGUCGUCAGCUCGUGUCGUGAGAUGUUAGUAACUCCUCUAACGGGCGAAACCCCUGU